CCCAACUAUCCCUAUUAAUCAUUACGUCGACCCUAGAAACCAACAAAAUAGGAUCAAACGUCCUAUUUCAUUAUUCCAUGCUAAUGUAUUCAAGCGUUAGCCUGCUUUAAACACUCUAAUUUUUUCAAAGUAACAGUCCUGAUUCCCCGCGACACCAAGUUAAUGACAUCGCGGCUCCUCAGAAAGGAGGAACCAACAAAACCAGUACGUACCAUAGGCACGACCAGUAAAUUGAUCCCGAAAUUCAACUACGAGCUUUUUAACUGCAGCAACUUUAAUAUACGCUAUUGGAGCUGGAAUUACCGCGGCUGCUGGCACCAGACUUGCCCUCCAA
This 334-nucleotide unclassified non-coding RNA is filed under the name uncultured Glomeraceae. RNAcentral's name for it is "sequence contains 18S rRNA gene". Lineage: Eukaryota; Fungi; Glomeromycota; Glomeromycetes; Glomerales; Glomeraceae. The record is from RNAcentral.